AUACGGAGGGGGUUAGCGUUGUUCGGAAUUACUGGGCGUAAAGCGCACGUAGGCGGACUGGAAAGUUGGGGGUGAAAUCCCGGGGCUCAACCCCGGAACUGCCUCCAAAACUUCCAAUCUAGAGAUCGUGAGAGGUGAGUGGAAUUCCAAGUGUAGAGGUGAAAUUCGUAGAUAUUUGGAGGAACACCAGUGGCGAAGGCGGCUCACUGGCUCGAUACUGACGCUGAGGUGCGAAAGCGUGGGGAGCAAACAGAAUUAGAAACCCUAGUAGUCC
This 274-nucleotide ribosomal RNA is filed under the name uncultured bacterium. RNAcentral describes it as "partial 16S ribosomal RNA". It matches the Rfam family "Bacterial small subunit ribosomal RNA", at positions 523 to 796 of the family's 1533-position model. The record is from RNAcentral.